CCUACGGGUGGCAGCAGUGAGGAAUAUUGGUCAAUGGGCGCGAGCCUGAACCAGCCAAGUAGCGUGAAGGAUGACUGCCCUACGGGUUGUAAACUUCUUUUAUAAAGGAAUAAAGUGAUGCACGUGUGCCUUUUUGUAUGUACUUUAUGAAUAAGGAUCGGCUAACUCCGUGCCAGCAGCCGCGGUAAUACGGAGGAUCCGAGCGUUAUCCGGAUUUAUUGGGUUUAAAGGGAGCGUAGAUGGGUUGUUAAGUCAGUUGUGAAAGUUUGCGGCUCAACCGUAAAAUUGCAUUUGAUACUGGAAGUCUGGAGUACAGAUGAGGUAGGCGGAAUUGGGGGUGUAGCGGUGAAAUGCUUAGAUAUCACGAAGAACUCCGAUUGCGAAGGCAGCUUACUAAACUGAAACUGAAAUUGAUGCUCGAAAGUGUGGGUAUCAAACAGGAUUAGAUACCCGGUAGUC
RNAcentral lists this ribosomal RNA (459 nucleotides) under uncultured bacterium. Its description in RNAcentral is "partial 16S ribosomal RNA". It matches the Rfam family "Bacterial small subunit ribosomal RNA", at positions 338 to 795 of the family's 1533-position model. The record is from RNAcentral.